This 935-nucleotide long non-coding RNA is filed under the name Amborella trichopoda. RNAcentral describes it as "long non-coding RNA (ATRI_LNC002832)". The record is from RNAcentral. Lineage: Eukaryota; Viridiplantae; Streptophyta; Magnoliopsida; Amborellales; Amborellaceae.
UUCAAGUAAAUGGCUUCAUCGGGCUGUACACGAAUGACAAGCUCAUUGGUCGCACGGUCUAGGUCGGUUCCAAAGCUCCGUUUGUACAGAUUACCAGGUACAUGCCUAAAUUGCACCCUGAUCUCUGCUCUGUUUUCAAAACCAAUAAAUGUACCACAUAACAUCAGAGGAAUGUUUACCUGUGCUUAUCCUUCAAAUCUAAAAUCUGCUGACAUUUGGAUAUACAUGCAAACCUUAUUUGAAAAAUCCACAAUUAUUUGGAUUAUGAAACUAAAAUUCUGAUAAUGACAUGUCAGUGUUUCUCCUCUAUUUUUUAAUACUAUUUUUUAAAAUUAACUUCAGCAAAAAUUUGGAAUGAGUUAUUCAAUUAUGAUAUUCAUCGAAGCCUUUUCCCAACUAAUUGAAAAGUUUAAUUCAUUUACAGUAAUGGACCUAAAACAUUUCAAUUACAGGAAUGGACCUAAAACAUUCUGAAACUUCGAUUAUCAACCUUGGAGCAUCCUACAAACAAAAAAAAUGUGAGAUAGUGAAAGAAAGAUCAACAGCACGUUGGAUGAUUGCCUAAGCCUAGCAGGUUGAAGCUCUCAGUCUCAGACUAGCAGGCCGCAAAUUCCACUAGUUAGCAAGAAAAACAGAAUAAAUGAUCAAUAGAAGGCCAGUCCAGGUCAAGCUUAAGCAAGUAAAGGACAAAUAAUGUGUUCAAUCUGACUGAUCCCCAAAUUGUACUCUAAUCCAAUGGAAUAUGGAAAAGCUAAGUAGGAGGGUUGCAACACCAUCUAAUGAAAUAAUAGAUGGUGAUGAAGAGUAGAAUCCAUCUUCUAGAUGGUGAUGAAGAGUGGAAUCCAUCUUCUCACACUACAUCACGGUCCCCCAUUUCCCAUUGUCCAUUAAAUUAUAGGAGUCUUUCCCUGUGUGGAAAAAGAAAUGGAAUACCU